RNAcentral lists this ribosomal RNA (501 nucleotides) under uncultured Verrucomicrobiota bacterium. RNAcentral's name for it is "bacterial SSU rRNA". It matches the Rfam family "Bacterial small subunit ribosomal RNA", at positions 755 to 1246 of the family's 1533-position model. Lineage: Bacteria; Pseudomonadati; Verrucomicrobiota. The record is from RNAcentral.
GAAAGCAAGGGGAGCGAAGAGGAUUAGUUACCCUCGUAGUCCCGGCUGUAAACGGUGUGCACUUGGUGUGGGGGGCUUUAUCCCCUUCCGUGCCGGAGCUAACGCGUUAAGUGCACCGCCUGGGGAGUGCGGUCGCAAGAUUAAAACUCAAAGAAAUUGACGGGGCCCCGCACAAGCGGUGGAGCAUGUGGCUUAAUUCGAUGCAACGCGAAGAACCUUACCUGGACUUGACAUGCCCGUCGUACUUUCCUUAAAGGGAGAGGUCCGCUCGCUGGACGGUGCACAGGUGCUGCAUGGCUGUCGUCAGCUCGUGCCGUGAGGUGUUGGGUUAAGUCCCGCAACGAGCGCAACCCUUGUCGUUAGUUGACAUCAGGGAGUGAUCCGGCUGGGCACUCUAACCAGACUGCCCGCGAUAAGCGGGAGGAAGGUGGGGAAGACGUCAAGUCAGUAUGGUCCUUAUGUCCAGGGCUGCACACGUGCUACAAUGGCCGGUAAAAUGGG